RNAcentral lists this ribosomal RNA (1978 nucleotides) under Gemmatimonadota bacterium. RNAcentral describes it as "Gemmatimonadetes bacterium (sponge metagenome) partial 23S ribosomal RNA". It matches the Rfam family "Bacterial large subunit ribosomal RNA", at positions 1 to 1984 of the family's 2925-position model. Lineage: Bacteria; Pseudomonadati; Gemmatimonadota. The record is from RNAcentral.
GGUCAAGUGGUAAAGUGCGUACGGUGGAUGCCUAGGCACGAGGAGGCGAUGAAGGACGUGGCAAGCUGCGAUAAGCCUCGGUGAGCUGCAAGCGAGCUUCGACCCGAGGAUUUCCGAAUGGGGAAACCCGGCGGGGGUAAUGCCCCGUCACCCGAGAGGGGGCGAACCCGGUGAACUGAAACAUCUAAGUAACCGGAGGAAGAGAAAUCAAAUGAGAUUCCCUGAGUAGCGGCGAGCGAAACGGGAAUAGCCCAAACCGGUGGGGGUUAAAGCCCGCCGGGGUUGCGGGGCUCUGGAGAAUCGAGACGCAAGCGUAGUCGAACGCGCCUGGAACGGCGGACCGCAGAGGGUGAGAGUCCCGUAAGCGAAACGCACCGCGUCGAGAGCCAGAGUUCCCAAGUAGGCCGGGACACGUGAAACCCCGGCUGAAUCUGGGGGGACCAUCCUCCAAGGCUAAAUACGACCUCGUGACCGAUAGUGAACAGUACCGUGAGGGAAUGGUGAAAAGCACGCCUGACGGCGAGUGAAAUAGAACCUGAAACCGUGCGCAUACAAGCGGUAGGAGCCUGGUCCCGUCCACGGAUGGGACGCGGGUGACUGCGUGCCUUUUGCAUUAUGAUCCGGCGAGUUACUCCUCAUGUGCGAGGUUAAGGCCUUCUGGGCCGUAGCCGAAGCGAAAGCGAGUCCGAAACGGGCGCCGAAGUACAUGGGGGUAGACCCGAAACCGACGCGAUCUAUCCAUGGCCAGGUUGAAGCUGGGGUAAUGCCCGGUGGAGGACCGAACCGUUCUGUGGAUAGGGGUGAAAGGCCAAUCAAGCUCGGAGAUAGCUGGUUCUCCCCGAAAUAUAUUUAGGUAUAGCCUCAGGGAUUUUGUCCGGGAGGUAGAGCACUGAAUGGGCUAGGGGCCCCACCAGGUUACCGAACCCAAUCAAACUCCGAAUGCCCAAGACAUGAACCCUGGGAGUCAGUGGGCGGGCGAUAAUGUCCGUCCGCGAGAGGGAAACAGCCCAGACCGUCAGCUAAGGCCCCCAAGUGUGCGCUAAGUGAGAAAGGAUGUGGAUAUGCAGAGACAGCUAGGAGGUUGGCUUAGAAGCAGCCAUUCCUUUAAAGAGUGCGUAAUAGCUCACUAGUCAAGUGUGUCCGCGCCGAUAAUGGUCGGGACUCAAGCGCACCGCCGAAGCUACGGAUGUGACGGCCACCCCUCGGGGUGCGCCGAAUCAUGGUAGGGGAGCGUUCCCUGGGCCGAGAAGCGGAGCCGGAAGGUCCUCCGUGGAGCGCAGGGAAGCGAGCAUGCCGGAAUGAGUACGCGAUAAACAGAGUGAUUCCGGAGCCAGGCUUAUCCGCUCCGGGUUAGUCGGUCCCUAAGCCGAGGCCGAAGGGCGUAGGCGAUGGGAAACAGGUCAACAUUCCUGUACCGCAGUGUUCGCGUUAUUACCCAGAGGGGGGACGCGGGAGUGAAAGGACCGUCGGCAUGUGGAUCGCCGAUGUAAGGUGGUAGGCGUUGAGAGGACGAAAAACCUCUUUAGCCGAGCACCGACGCCGAAGGGGACCUCGGUCCCCGCAAAGGGUCCCUAAUCAUGCCGCCAGGAAAAGCCUCGCUGGGGAGUUGGCGCUGCGACCGUACCGUAAACGGACACACGUAGGCGAGGCGAGAAGCCUAAGGUGCUCGAGUGAUUUGCGGAGAAGGAACUCGGCAAAAUGUCCCCGUAACUUCGGGAAAAGGGGAGCCCGUGGUAGGUGAAGCCGACGCAUGGUGGAGCCGAAGCGGGCCGCAGAGAAUCGGCCCAGGCGACUGUUUAGCAAAAACACAGGUGUCUGCAAAGUCGUUAAGACGACGUAUAGGCACUGACGCCUGCCCGGUGCCGGAAGGUUAAGAAGAGGGGUUAGCUCACGCGAAGCUCUGAAUUGAAGCCCCGGUAAACGGCGGCCGUAACUAUAACGGUCCUAAGGUAGCGAAAUUCCUUGUCGGGUAAGUUCC